Non-coding RNA from Rattus norvegicus (Norway rat), 1529 nucleotides. The record is from RefSeq and is a predicted model, not a curated record. NCBI's taxonomy places the organism in Eukaryota, Metazoa, Chordata, Mammalia, Rodentia, Muridae.
UACAACUACGAUUUUUGAUGGAAUAUUUACAUGGAUUGUGCCUAACUAGGUCAAGAAUAUAUGAUCCACAAAUGACAAUGCCAAAUAGACUCCCUCCUGUUCUCAUAACAUACUGAAGUUGAGGUUUCACUGGACCUCAAGCCAUUCCUCUUGCUGCCCAUCACCCAGAAACUAAUGUUUGGCCUGAAGGAAGAAUCAUGGUAAAACAUCCAAAAUCAUCAAGUCUUUCCCUGGACAAACAGGAAGGUGCGCCGAGCUCUUGGAGAAGUUGCUGAACAUCCUAAAGACUUUUGGGCAGAUGGAAAAGGGCUUGUCUGUCAAAUGCUUUUCAAUCGCCAAGAAGUUUGAGGUACCUGGAGAAUGCUUCCUCCUGUUCAUCCUCAUCCUGCUCUCAUGGCCUUUGUUAUCUGCACCAGUCCAUCUCUACACACCCCCAUGUACAUUUUUCUGAUGAACUUACGUAUCCUGAAAUUUGGUUACACUAGUUCUGUCAUACACAAUAUAUGGAGAGACUUGAAAGUGAGAUCUGAGGAAUCUCUCAGGGGGGAUGUGCCACACAGACGUUUUUCUUCACACUUUUUGUAUAAUUCAUUGCUGCCUAUUGCCAGCCAUGGCCUUUGUCCACUGUAUGGCCCUGCUUCAUUCUGCAGCCCAAAUGAGUAGUGAGAUGACAGAUAUCCUCCUAAUGCUUACCUGCGAUAAGCGAAGCAAGAAACACUUUGUGGUAUCUGUGUCAAGUACAUAUAAUCUCAACCUAAAAGAGGAAAACCACUGGGCAAAUCCAAAUUCAGAGACAUUCUUGCAAGUUAUCAGCUAUCAGCUAUCAGCUUGACAAAAGUGGAAGAACCCAUGAACAAAAAUAUCCUUGUAAUGUACGUAGAGAAAAUUGAUCAGAGAAGAAGGAAUACAUAUAGCAACCUUCCUGGAUUCAACACAAUAGAGCCUACAUUCCUGUAGUGUAUUCUUCAUGAGUUUAUAGAGUUUAUGGGCUAAUACCUGGAAAAGAACUCCUACAAAAACCAGCAGCAAAUUAACCACAAACUGCAAUAUUUAUACAAGCCAAAGAAAUAUGUGUAAAGUAUUAUUUUCAGCUCUAUAUGAGAAUAUUAAUGUUUUUUAAUUCAUAUAGUAAUAAAAUUUUAAUUUCAUUUCUGCAAAUUUUUAUUGCAAUUUUUUAAUAAAUAGAUUUUAAGUGACUCAUGUGAUCAUUAACUUUUAGUGGUUUUGAUUGCACUAUAGAACAAUAAAGUGUUUAUUUGACUGUGAUCAUUACUAUGAAUAUUCACGAAAAUCAAAUUAUGUCAACCAGGAACUGCUCUUCUGUUUUUAUACUUUUUGUUGUACAUAUGCUUGUUCACAUGUGCAACACAUGCAUGCCUACUGUCCAGGAGGUUGAAGAAGGUGUGAGGUUCCGUGAUGCUGAAAUUACAGCCACUUGUGAGCUGUCAACAGGUUCUCUGGAAGAACAGAUAAUGCUAUUAAUCACCGAAUCAUUCAUUCAUCUGCAGCAAACACCAUUUUUUGUAAAU